RNAcentral lists this ribosomal RNA (348 nucleotides) under uncultured bacterium. RNAcentral describes it as "partial 16S ribosomal RNA". It matches the Rfam family "Bacterial small subunit ribosomal RNA", at positions 338 to 683 of the family's 1533-position model. The record is from RNAcentral.
CCUACGGGAGGCAGCAGUGAGGAAUAUUGGUCAAUGGGCGUAAGCCUGAACCAGCCAAGUCGCGUGAGGGAUGAAGGUUCUAUGGAUCGUAAACCUCUUUUAUAAGGGAAUAAAGUGCGGGACGUGUCCCGUUUUGUAUGUACCUUAUGAAUAAGGAUCGGCUAACUCCGUGCCAGCAGCCGCGGUAAUACGGAGGAUCCGAGCGUUAUCCGGAUUUAUUGGGUUUAAAGGGUGCGUAGGCGGCGUUUUAAGUCAGCGGUGAAAGUGUGUGGCUCAACCAUAGAAUAGCCGUUGAAACUGGGAGGCGUGAGUAUGUUUGAGGCAGGCGGAAGGCGUGGGGGAGCGGUG